RNAcentral lists this long non-coding RNA (773 nucleotides) under Coturnix japonica (Japanese quail). Its description in RNAcentral is "lncRNA (ENSCJPG00005012650.1)". The record is from RNAcentral. Lineage: Eukaryota; Metazoa; Chordata; Aves; Galliformes; Phasianidae.
CUGACUUAUAUUUUUGGGUUGAUUUCAGUGUGAAGAAACCAGAUAAUACAUUAACACGUGAUUCUUUGGAAGCGAUAAGUAAUAGGGCAGUGAUGACCCAGAUACAUCAUCCACAGGAAUUGAUCAGAACACAGUGCAAUGAGUCAGGAAAAAAAAUUAAAGUAAACUUGAAUGUCUUUCAGAUCAAAGAAACAGUGUAGUCACAGAAGAUGAAGGCUGAAAUGAAAGAGAAAAUAGAGUGAGGUAAUAACGAGAUGGCGGAGGUGAUGAACAAAGAAACUAUAACGUGCUCAAGGUCGUACAGAAACCUGUGGCAGAAGGCAGAGAAAGCACUAUUACUACAUGUGAUACUGAAACGAGUGAGGCAGUAGAUGAAAGGCACAGGGACUUUUCUGCCUGGAAGAGAUUUCUAUUAUAAAUUUUACCAAUUUUACGUCCUCUCGUGUACAAGAAAUUAAUGACAACUGUGUGUUUUUGAAGGUAGGUUAGAUGUAAAAGGAACCUGAUUAAGUGUUCAAUGUGUUGUAAGUAAUAACAUUUACACUUUUAAAACAAGUUUUGUAACACAGAUUUCUUCUUAGGUUGAUAUUUUGAUUUGCGUUCUUUUUAAUUGACACUGCAGAAUGGAUAUUUACAAUGCAUUUACCUCUGUGUUGCUGUAUAAGUAUCCAAUGUUGAAAUCCUUUCCUCGAUGAGCAGGGUAUAGACUAUGGUGAUUUAAAAAGUGUUUAGAACAGUAUCCAUGAGCGUACAGCUUUUAAAUUCUUAAUGAC